Molecule: long non-coding RNA, 1757 nt
Filed under: Homo sapiens (human)
Lineage: Eukaryota; Metazoa; Chordata; Mammalia; Primates; Hominidae
Description: PREDICTED lncRNA (TCONS_00250742)
Source: RNAcentral
CUGCAUUAUGCACUUGGAGAUUUGUAGAGAACAGAACAAUAAUUUUUAUUUGAGAACAGAAAAAUAAUUUUUUAUUUCAUGUAUUUCCGGUUCUGUUUUAAGUCUGGAGUGAUUAUGUGGGAAGUAUGAAACAUGCCUCAACCCACAAUGGUCUUACUACCCGAUUGAAGAAGAUAGGCUUUUAAAAGAAAAAAUCUUAUAAUGCUGUAAUAUGAACAGCAUGUAAUGAAGUGCGGCAACAUUGACUCAUAAGUGCACAGAGGUGGGGACAGCCAUGGAAGGAUGAGAGGUUGGGUGAGGCUCUCCAGGGCCCUCAGAGCUCUAAAGACACUGAAAGAUUUGGAAUGACAAACAAAGAGAGACGCUGUUCUGACUGGGAAACAGCCUCAAUAAAAUACAGAGUACACAUGGAAUAUGAGGGCUCCGUAAAGGGACCCUCAUGUUCCCCACUUCAGUCACAGAAAGUAAACAACUCCCAAUAAAACGUUUUCUGCAAAUAAAAUAACCAGUACUUCUCUUGAGGGGGUCCACAAGGAGCACUUUUACAGAUGGAUGAAUUGGCAGCUAUGUUUUGUUUGGUAAAACAGAAACCAGCAGGCAAACAUCCUGAUAUUAACUCAGGAACAUCUCCAGCCACAACAUUUUCAUUUGUUCUUACGUAUUCUUAGACCAGAUGAAGUGGAUUUUUCCCUUACAAAGGAAUUCGGAAUGUAUACUAAGGAAACCAUUCCCUUCUGGGAUCCAAUCUAGUCCUUGUUUGGGAAACAAAAUGUGAAACAUAUCCAGGUGGCUGAAAGAGAAGAGACAUCCUGACAAUACUCUUCAGAAGGCUCCCUGGAUCCUCCCUUCCUCCACGUCAUUUUACCAGCCCUUGAAAAUGUACUUUUCUCCCAAAUAAGGAUACUUAUAUUCGCAUUCUGUAAGCAGUCCUAGUCUUAGUGAGAGAAGGCAUGCGCAUACCAUCCCAAGCAUGCGCUGCAGAACAAGAGAUCAGCGUGCUUCCCCUCAAAGGCCUAUUCCCACGGGCCUUUCCCGUGUCCCCUCUUGUCACCACUACUCAUAUCUCUAUAUUUCACACCAAAGCCAGUGGAAGCCAAUGGAAGUUCCACAGUCUGCCUAGAUUCCGUAAGGGUCUGAUCAUCCAAGGGCAAGAACAAAUUGCUGGCAAACAGUCACACACAUGUUUGUAAUCACUGACAUUUGCACUGCUACAAAUAAAGAAUGCAUUUCUCCUACACAUGUACAUUGAAGAUGGUUAGGAAAAUCUGUUUUGAGUUAAGCUUCUUUUCUUUGAUAUGCAUUUCCAAUUACUAAACCAAUGCUGCUUUAAUUUUGUUUGUAGGAAGCUGAACUGACACGAAACAAAAGAAGUCCGUUGUUUUGGAUUGAGUUCCAUACUUGGCUGGCCCAGAGGUUGAUCUCACCACCAUUCAGAUAUCCAAGAAGAAGCCACCUGUUGGAUUUAAGAAAACCCAAUCCCUGACUUACACCCUGACUUGUAAUCUGGAACCACGCAGAGAUUUUCAAUGACAAUGUGGGGAAACAGAAUUUGUCUGAACUUUGGUGAUUUUGAAUGAAGUUUAUAUAAUAAUUAAAGCCAGGGCAGAUUUGGCAGUCUUCUUGAAAGGAAGUAAUGCUUAUUGUGGUCAGAAGAAAGAGUGAGGCAACUCAGGGUCUGAAAAAAGAGACAUGAAGAAAGCUGAGGACCAAUCCAUUCCAAGGUUCACUGUGGAAAUGGGGCCCAACCCUUAAAAGGU